UAUGCUUGUCUCAAAGAUUAAGCCAUGCAUGUCUAAGUAUAAGCAAUUAUACCGCGAAACUGCGAAUGGCUCAUUAAAUCAGUUAUCGUUUAUUUGAUAGUACCUUACUACUUGGAUAACCGUGGUAAUUCUAGAGCUAAUACAUGCUAAAAACCCC
This 157-nucleotide ribosomal RNA is filed under the name Oryza glaberrima (African rice). RNAcentral describes it as "rRNA EPlOGLG00000000179". It matches the Rfam family "Eukaryotic small subunit ribosomal RNA", at positions 27 to 184 of the family's 1831-position model. The record is from RNAcentral. Lineage: Eukaryota; Viridiplantae; Streptophyta; Magnoliopsida; Poales; Poaceae.